Molecule: long non-coding RNA, 564 nt
Filed under: Homo sapiens (human)
Lineage: Eukaryota; Metazoa; Chordata; Mammalia; Primates; Hominidae
Description: HSALNT0197562
Source: RNAcentral
AUCUGGCAGGAGCCCUCUGCUCCUCAUUUGGGCGCCCUCAGGGACGCACGCCCAGGGGUGUUCUGGGAAAUUUAGCAGGGAAGGCCCAGUUCCUCAUGGACGUGAGACCUUCCCACCCAGCGUCUCCCCGAACACGGCCGAAUAACAGAAGAUCUUCUUCAGAAACCUCAAGCUCCGAUGAUGCCUUCAGACCCAUGAAGAUGGAGUGUGAAAUUCCAUGAAUAUCGAGUCUAUUUUCUGGACCCCAGAGCUGUGCGUCUUCCUCUCUGUCGGGCUCAUUCUGAAGCACAGUCCCAGCAUCCAUAUGGCAGAUGCAGCAUCCACGUGGCAGAUGCUUCCUGGACACUCUUAACAGCAUCCACAUGGCAGACGCUUCCUGGACACUCUUAACAGUCACAGGACACUUGGGCUAGUCAGGACACAGAGGACACAGCAGGCUGCAGCUGCAGAGCUUGAAAAGAUUUAUUUUAAAAGCCCAAGGGGAUAAAUACAGCAUCUCUCACAUUACUCCAUACUUAAAAAUAUUUGGAUUAAUUAUAUUAAAAAUUUGCAUUCAAAAGCGUU